CGUUCGUCGAGAGCGUCAAGUGUGCGAUUAGAUGCACAAACCGUCGUUCUCUCCAUUAUGUUGUUGUUGUUGUUCUUGUUGAUGUUUUAACACAAUAUUUGAUAUUUCGAUGUUUUAGUUUGUGAACGCGUGCGCGGAAGCGAUCACGUGACGAGGAAGGAAGAGGAAAGUAACGGUUUUGCUUGUUGGCUUUAUUUGGAUGGAAUAAACUUCGCACGCGCAGUUGAGUUAUUGUUCUUUUAGUUGUGCUAGUUGCCAACAUGGAGGCGAGAGGAAAGUAUGACUUCACGGCGACGACGACAGGCGAGCUGAACUUUAAGAAGGACGACGUGGUCAAGAUUUUAAGCACACACGGCGAGUGGUACAAAGCCGAGCUGGACGGACACGAAGGCUACGUACCCCAGAACUACAUGAACGUGACCGCGCCGGCAUGGUUCCGGGAGAAUGCCACUCGCGGCACAGCGGAAAAAAUCCUCAGCCCCAAAGCCAUCGGAGCCUUUGUUAUCCGGGGAUGCCAAAGUUCACCUGGAAAUUUCUCCAUCUCCGUCAAGCACGAGUGCGACGUGCAGCACUUCAAGGUCAUCCGCGACGAAGGGGGUCACUACUUCCUGUGGGCCGAGAGGUUCACGUCCCUCAACAAGCUAGUGGAUUUCUACAAGACUUCUUCCAUCUCCAAGACCGCCGACAUCUUCCUCAACGACGGCGCCGACGCCACCGGAACGCCCGGCGCUCAGUCGGUGGAGAGAGGAAGUUUACCCAAGCAGCGAAUUAUGGCCGACAUCAUGGCCGCCAACAUGGUCGCUGCCUCGCGCAGAGUCUCCGAACAGCCUCGGCCGAGCCACACGGCAAGGGGGCGUGGCCUGGAGGAGCGUGUUGAGAGUGCGGUCCAAUCAGGAAGAAGAAGCCCGAUCGGUGCCGCUCGAGCUCCUGACGCCACCCACCUCCACCAGCAGAGGGCGCCGCCGCAGCAGGUUUUGGCUUUGUACAACUUCAACGCAGAAGAAGACGACGAGUUGAGCUUCAGCGCCGGCGACGUCAUCAACAUCGCCGAUGCCUCCGACCCGACUUGGUGGACAGGGCGCUGCGGCGGCAGGAAAGGACUCUUCCCGGCAAACUACACCAGGCGGCUAUGAUGCAAGACACACCAAGAUUGAGGAUGACGAAGAACAAGAAGAAGAAAGAGAAGAGGAGGAGCGAAGAGGAGGAAGGAGAGAAGGAAGAGGAGAAAGAAAACAACUCUGGCUCAAUUUAUUAGAAGGUCCACUCACUGCAGCACACAAAAUGGGAUCUUAACACCUCCCACUUGACGAGCUGUCUCCUAGUUACAAGCGCAGAAAGCGCUCGGCUCCCGCUACUGAUGACGACGACGAUGAUGAUGAUGAUGAUGAUUC
This is an RNA transcript of Phyllopteryx taeniolatus (common seadragon), 1391 nucleotides long. It is a transcript of the gene named GRB2 related adaptor protein 2a, with no coding region annotated. The transcript is spliced from 9 exons. The record is from RefSeq and is a predicted model, not a curated record. NCBI's taxonomy places the organism in Eukaryota, Metazoa, Chordata, Actinopteri, Syngnathiformes, Syngnathidae.